UCUGAGAGGACGACCAGCCACACUGGGACUGAGACACGGCCCAGACUCCUACGGGAGGCAGCAGUGGGGAAUUUUGGACAAUGGGCGCAAGCCUGAUCCAGCAAUGCCGCGUGUGUGAAGAAGGCCUUCGGGUUGUAAAGCACUUUUGUCCGGGAAGAAAUCCCUGGUCCUAAUAUGGCCGGGGGAUGACGGUACUGGAAGAAUAAGCACCGGCUAACUACGUGCCAGCAGCCGCGGUAAUACGUAGGGUGCGAGCGUUAAUCGGAAUUACUGGGCGUAAAGCGUGCGCAGGCGGUGAUGUAAGACCGAUGUGAAAUCCCCGGGCUUAACCUGGGAACUGCAUUGGUGACUGCAUCGCUCGAGUAUGGCAGAGGGGGGUAGAAUUCCACGUGUAGCAGUGAAAUGCGUAGAGAUGUGGAGGAAUACCGAUGGCGAAGGCAGCCCCCUGGGUCAAUACUGACGCUCA
This 466-nucleotide ribosomal RNA is filed under the name Burkholderia sp. RNAcentral's name for it is "bacterial SSU rRNA". It matches the Rfam family "Bacterial small subunit ribosomal RNA", at positions 291 to 749 of the family's 1533-position model. Lineage: Bacteria; Pseudomonadati; Pseudomonadota; Betaproteobacteria; Burkholderiales; Burkholderiaceae. The record is from RNAcentral.